This 72-nucleotide transfer RNA is filed under the name Ochromonas danica. Its description in RNAcentral is "tRNA-Ile". It matches the Rfam family "tRNA". Rfam says of the family: Transfer RNA (tRNA) molecules are approximately 80 nucleotides in length. Lineage: Eukaryota; Chrysophyceae; Chromulinales; Chromulinaceae. The record is from RNAcentral.
GAGUCUGUAACUCAGUGGUAGAGUGUACGCCUGAUAAGCGUAACGUCAGUAGUUCAAAUCUACUCAGACUCA